This 497-nucleotide ribosomal RNA is filed under the name uncultured bacterium. RNAcentral's name for it is "partial 16S ribosomal RNA". It matches the Rfam family "Bacterial small subunit ribosomal RNA", at positions 899 to 1397 of the family's 1533-position model. The record is from RNAcentral.
ACUCAAAUGAAUUGACGGGGGCCCGCACAAGCAGUGGAGCAUGUGGUUUAAUUCGAUGCAACGCGAAGAACCUUACCUGGGCUUGAACUGUAGAGGAAGAUGCUAGAAACAGCAUCGCCGCAAGGCCGCUACAGAGGUGCUGCAUGGCUGUCGUCAGCUCGUGCCGUGAGGUGUUUGGUUAAGUCCAGCAACGAGCGCAACCCUUAUCGUUAGUUGCCAGCGAGUGAUGUCGGGAACUCUAACGAGACUGCCUAGGUCAACUAGGAGGAAGGUGAGGAUGACGUCAAGUCCGCAUGGCCUUUAUGUCCAGGGCUACACACGUGCUACAAUGGCCAGUACAAAAGGUUGCCAAGCCGCGAGGUGGAGCUAAUCCUAUAAAGCUGGUCCCAGUUCGGAUUGCAGUCUGCAACUCGACUGCAUGAAGUUGGAAUUGCUAGUAAUGGCGUGUCAGCUACAACGCCGUGAAUACGUUCCCGGGCCUUGUACACACCGCCCGU